RNAcentral lists this microRNA (23 nucleotides) under Canis lupus familiaris (dog). RNAcentral describes it as "cfa-miR-8899". The record is from miRBase by way of RNAcentral. Lineage: Eukaryota; Metazoa; Chordata; Mammalia; Carnivora; Canidae.
GUUGGGGUCCAUGCGUCUAGGAC